This 440-nucleotide ribosomal RNA is filed under the name uncultured bacterium. Its description in RNAcentral is "partial 16S ribosomal RNA". It matches the Rfam family "Bacterial small subunit ribosomal RNA", at positions 338 to 795 of the family's 1533-position model. The record is from RNAcentral.
CCUACGGGUGGCAGCAGUGGGGAAUAUUGCACAAUGGGGGAAACCCUGAUGCAGCGACGCCGCGUGAGUGAAGAAGGAUUUCGGUAUGUAAAGCUCUAGCAGCAGGGAAGAAAAGGACGGUACCUGAGUAAGAAGCCCCGGCUAACUACGUGCCAGCAGCCGCGGUAAUACGUAGGGGGCAAGCGUUAUCCGGAUUUACUGGGUGUACAGGGAGCGUAGACGGCAGCACAAGUAGGGAGUGAACUGCCGGGGCUUAACCCCGGAACUGCUUUUGAAACUGUGCAGCUAGAGUGCAGGAGAGGUAAGUGGCAUUCCUCUUGUAGCCGUUCCAUGCGUCGCUCUUAGGAGGCACCCCAGUGGCGCAGGCGGCUUACUGGACUGUACCUGACGUUGCGGCUCGAACGCGUGGGGCGCACACAGGAUUAGAUACCCUAGUAGUC